UCACGUCACUACCAUCAGAAUUUGUAAAUCGUUCAGCACCUAAAAUCAAAUCUUCUCGCGCAAGACCCACCUGAAAUGAAAAAUGAUCCUAGCCAACUUGAUGGUCUGGCGGAGGACGUCGAUCAGAGAUGCAGGACAUCGCUGAAGCUCCGCAGUCGAUGGCCACUCGAUGCCACUUUAAGAACUUUCGCACGCAGCAAACAGCUAUAACAGAAAGCUUUGUCGAUAUUCAAAAGGUAACACUAAGCUAGCUACGAAUGCCAUAGACGAACUUUAGGGGGUAACCCUCAAAUCAGGGAGUUCUUAAGGGAAUAAAACUUAGAGACACUCAAAGGCGAUCACUCACUAGACUCAAUGUGAUGUGAAAAAAUUAGUAUACGUAUUUUUAAAUAAAAAUUUCAAAUUAUUGCCGUUAGGAAUUGCUUCAAAAGCUUGGCCCUUCCCAGCACAAAACGAAGUAUGUGCUCACUCGACCUUACGUGUUCUUAAUUCUAGCCCGUGCCGUGGUCUGGGUGAUCUUCUAGACUGCGUAGCCAUGAUAAGCAUUUAAUGUCGGGAAUGUAGUCAUGCUUGUUCAACUCUCAUCGCUGGCAAAAAUGUUUACUAGAAAAUUAUAGCUAGGAAAAAAAAGAAAAAAAAUAGCAAUCAAUGAAAUUAAAUGAUUAUUAGUAUCAUUAAUGCUAGUAGCUCCUCGUAAGGUUGCCAUAGGUCUAUUGGAAAUAAUCCAUAAAUUGAAAUUCCUAGUUCGAGAAAAGCUAUAUUUAAAAAAAAAAAAAAAAAAA
Molecule: long non-coding RNA, 782 nt
Organism: Varroa destructor (honeybee mite)
Lineage: Eukaryota; Metazoa; Arthropoda; Arachnida; Mesostigmata; Varroidae
Source: RefSeq, a predicted model, not a curated record